This 482-nucleotide ribosomal RNA is filed under the name uncultured bacterium. Its description in RNAcentral is "partial 16S ribosomal RNA". It matches the Rfam family "Bacterial small subunit ribosomal RNA", at positions 30 to 507 of the family's 1533-position model. The record is from RNAcentral.
AUUGAACGCUGGCGGCAUGCUUUACACAUGCAAGUCGAACGGUAACAGGCCGCAAGGUGCUGACGAGUGGCGAACGGGUGAGUAAUGCAUCGGAACGUGCCCAAUCGUGGGGGAUAACUACUCGAAAGAGUAGCUAAUACCGCAUACGAUCUAUGGAUGAAAGCGGGGGACCGUAAGGCCUCGCGCGAUUGGAGCGGCCGAUGUCAGAUUAGGUAGUUGGUGGGGUAAAGGCUCACCAAGCCAACGAUCUGUAGCUGGUCUGAGAGGACGACCAGCCACACUGGGACUGAGACACGGCCCAGACUCCUACGGGAGGCAGCAGUGGGGAAUUUUGGACAAUGGGCGCAAGCCUGAUCCAGCAAUGCCGCGUGCAGGAAGAAGGCCUUCGGGUUGUAAACUGCUUUUGUCCGGAACGAAACGGCUCUGGUUAAUACCCGAGGCUAAUGACGGUACCGUAAGAAUAAGCACCGGCUAACUACGUG